RNAcentral lists this ribosomal RNA (460 nucleotides) under uncultured bacterium. RNAcentral's name for it is "partial 16S ribosomal RNA". It matches the Rfam family "Bacterial small subunit ribosomal RNA", at positions 338 to 795 of the family's 1533-position model. The record is from RNAcentral.
CCUACGGGUGGCUGCAGUGAGGAAUAUUGGUCAAUGGGCGCGAGCCUGAACCAGCCAAGUAGCGUGAAGGAUGACUGCCCUACGGGUUGUAAACUUCUUUUAUAAAGGAAUAAAGUGAAGCACGUGUGCUGUUUUGUAUGUACUUUAUGAAUAAGGAUCGGCUAACUCCGUGCCAGCAGCCGCGGUAAUACGGAGGAUCCGAGCGUUAUCCGGAUUUAUUGGGUUUAAAGGGAGCGUAGGUGGGUGGUUAAGUCAGUUGUGAAAGUUUGCGGCUCAACCGUAAAAUUGCAGUUGAUACUGGGUGCCUUGAGUGCAGCUGAGGUAGGCGGAAUUCGUGGUGUAGCGGUGAAAUGCUUAGAUAUCACGAAGAACUCCGAUUGCGAAGGCAGCCUACUAAACUGUCACUGACGUUGAUGCUCGAAAGUGUGGGUAUCAAACAGGAUUAGAUACCCUUGUAGUC